UGGGGAAUUUUGGACAAUGGGGGAAACCCUGAUCCAGCCAUCCCGCGUGUGCGAUGAAGGCCUUCGGGUUGUAAAGCACUUUUGGCAGGAAAGAAACGUCAUGGGUUAAUACCCCGUGAAACUGACGGUACCUGCAGAAUAAGCACCGGCUAACUACGUGCCAGCAGCCGCGGUAAUACGUAGGGUGCAAGCGUUAAUCGGAAUUACUGGGCGUAAAGCGUGCGCAGGCGGUUCGGAAAGAAAGAUGUGAAAUCCCAGAGCUCAACUUUGGAACUGCAUUUUUAACUACCGAGCUAGAGUGUGUCAGAGGGAGGUGGAAUUCCGCGUGUAGCAGUGAAAUGCGUAGAUAUGCGGAGGAACACCGAUGGCGAAGGCAGCCUCCUGGGAUAACACUGACGAUCAUGCACGAAAGCGUGGGGAGCAAACAGG
RNAcentral lists this ribosomal RNA (429 nucleotides) under Acidobacteriota bacterium. RNAcentral's name for it is "Acidobacteria bacterium partial 16S ribosomal RNA". It matches the Rfam family "Bacterial small subunit ribosomal RNA", at positions 355 to 776 of the family's 1533-position model. Lineage: Bacteria; Pseudomonadati; Acidobacteriota. The record is from RNAcentral.